GUUAGCCUAUGAUGAGCCGCAGAAUAUUUUGCCUACAUUGUUUGACUAAAGGAACAUGAUAUUAUCUGCAAAGUUCUGAGGUUAUC
Molecule: small nucleolar RNA, 86 nt
Filed under: Leersia perrieri
Lineage: Eukaryota; Viridiplantae; Streptophyta; Magnoliopsida; Poales; Poaceae
Description: snoRNA SNORD34
Rfam family: Small nucleolar RNA SNORD34
About the family: snoRNA U34 is found in intron 5 of the ribosomal protein L13a gene in humans.
Source: Rfam by way of RNAcentral